Doryrhamphus excisus (bluestripe pipefish) is the source of this 3670-nucleotide non-coding RNA. NCBI's taxonomy places the organism in Eukaryota, Metazoa, Chordata, Actinopteri, Syngnathiformes, Syngnathidae. The record is from RefSeq and is a predicted model, not a curated record.
AUGGCAGGAGUGAAUGGAGACCGUAAAGGAAAGAAAGAUGACAACGGCAUCGGCACCGCCAUCGACUUCAUGCUUUCCAAUGCCAAGCUUGUUUUGGGUGUCGGCGGAGCGGCCAUGCUUGGCAUCGCAACGCUGGCUGUCAAAAGAAUGUACGACCGUGCCAUCAGCGCUCCGACUAGCCCCACCAAGAUGGAGCAGAAAGGAAAGCGAAGCUGGGAGGAGCCCGCCUGGGUGGGCUCUUCACCUCGGGUCCUGAACCACGACAUGAAGGCCACCGUCAGCAGGUCACUCCAGUGCCUGCCCACCUCCUCUAAUACUUUCGAAUCCGACUGUCUGCGGAGGGCCGUGGGUCGGGUUGCGGCGAAAGGCAGCGGCGCCACGCAGUCGGACCUCCUGCGUGCUCGGAUGCGUCUCUCCCUGCAAGAGCGCCUGUGGGACUUCUACCAGAACAACGUGGACAUCCCCAGCGAGGAGCAGGCUCUGGCCCGGAGGGCAGCGUUGGACAUCUGCGCCGAGCUCCGAGUCUUCCUCCACGCCAAAAUGCCCGACAUGCCUCUCAGGGAGAUGUACCUGAGUGGGAGCCUCUACGACGACCUCCAGGUGGUGAUGGCUGACCACGCCCAGCUCAUGGUGCCUCUAAUUCUGGAUAAGAACCUCUGGUCGUCCAUACCCGGCGAGGACACCAUCAUGAACGUUCCAGGUUUCUGGCUGGUCCGCAGGGAGAAUUUGGAAUAUUUCCCACGCAACAGCAGCUACUGGGACCGCUGCAUGGUCGGAGGUUACCUCUCCCCGAAAUCCGUCCUGGAUGUUUUUGACAAGCUGGUGGGUUCCAUCAAUUGGCCGGCGAUUGGCAGCGUCCUGGACUACGUGAUCCGCCCCGUGGUCCCGUCCGAGACGCUCACCCUAGAGGUGCAAUACGAGCACGACCGGAAGCUUUACGUUGACUUUCUUCCGUUACUGGUGAUGGAGGACGGGACGUCUCUGAUCGCCAAACCGCAUCGCCUGGCCGCCGAGCGCCACCAGAACCUGUGGCGGCAGAGCUUCCGCGUGGCCGAAACAGCGCGGCUCAGGGCUCUGGAUCAAGAAGACGGCGGCUACCGAUGCGCGUGCCUCAAAGUGGCCAAGGCCGUGUGCAAGCUCAACGCCGCACUGAACCGCCUCAACGCCAGCCAGCUCACCAACGCCAUCUUGCUGCUGAGUGAAAAACAAAACAACUGGACCCACGAGGCGCUGGCCGACAACUUCCUGCAGUUGCUGAAGGAGCUGGUGGGUCACUUGGAGGCGGGCCGACUGCCCUGCGUGCUCAACCCAAAGGUGAACUUAUUCUGCGAGCUGACCGAACAGGAAGUGGAUGAGCUGGGAUACACGCUGUACUGUACGCUCUCGGAGCCGGAGUCGCUUCUGCAGCUACCACGGCCAUCUUAGAUUUCACGACAUGUGACGGUGUCUUGCACUGUUGCCGUGGUAUUAACGACGUUAGCGUUUGCUAAAUUACGUAAAGCGGUCGGAUACACGGACACGGUCUCAUGCAUUUUAUGGUAGCCAUAUGUCAAGACAUAGAAUGUAAUGUUGAUUGUCUGGAUGUCGACGCAAACGCUAAUAAAUGCUAAUAAAUAUGUGCUUUCACCUGAAGAAGCGACUUCAGUACAUGCGGAAGGAAAGCGGUUUUGCAAGAUGAUGUCAUCAAUACGGUUGCCACAUUCAAGAAGGUGGGAAUCGGGAGUUGGUCACCGAAAUGAGAACAAAACACAGCAGUUUUAUCAGCACUUUUUGGCAUCAACACAAACUAUUCCCUCGUGACUGGAUUUAUACAGAGCUGCUCUUUGUUUCCACUCGCUCCUCCACUUCCACCGCAGUCAGCAUAUCUGUUGCCGUAGACCCAAUUCCCGUGGCCAAUGUAUGCAAUCGGUUGCGUUAUGAGGAAGUGAUGGCCUUACUUUUACUGUAGGUUGUACUCAUUCUGCCAUCUUGACUUUGGAUCAAAGCGGGGGUGUUUGUUUAUUUUUUAUUUUUUUUGGUACAUUGAUUUCCUGUCACAUUUUAUAUUUACAACAACAAAAAAACAGCAAAUAUGGAAGAAAAUAGCAAUCAUUUUAAUGAAUAAUAUUGAAAUUAUGAGUUAAAAGUGGUGAUGUUUUGAGAAAAUAAGUCAUAAUUUUACAAUAAUUAAUACUAUUUGUCUUUCUCUUUCAGCUUUUACCCUUCAGGUGUCACCACAGCAAAUCAUAACUAUAAUACAAUAUAUAAUAAUACACAGAAGGUGCAGAAGAGUGGAACAAUAGUAGAUUAUAAUACAUAUUUAUUCCUGGUACUUUUCAUAAAAGUGAUGUUAAAAUCUCAUAUCCUGUCUUGUGAACUGUCUUGUGACACACCUCAAAAUUUAAAUUGAGAAAAAAUAUUAUAUAUUAGGGAUUAAAAUAAGUCCAAAUAAUUAGGGAUUAAAUUAGAUUAUGAGUAAAAAGACCAAAAUAAAUAAAAAAAAAUCGGGAUUAAAUUAGAUUAUGAGUAAAAAGACCAAAAUAAGUCAAACUAAUUUGGGAUUAAAUUUAGAUUAUGAGUAAAAAGACCAAAAUAAAUCAAAAAUAAUUAGGGAUUAAAUUAGAUUAUGAGUAAAAAGACCAAAAUAAGUCAAAAUAACUAGAGAUUAAAUUAGAUUAUGAGUAAAAAGACCAAAAUAAGUCAAAAUAAUUCGGGAUUAAAUUAGAUUAUGAGUAAAAAGACCAAAAUAAGUCAAAAUAAUUAGAGAUUAAAUUAGAUUAUGAGUAAAAAGACCAAAAUAAAUCAAAAUAAUUCAGGAUUAAAUUAGAUGAGUAAAAAAACCAAAAUAAGUCAAAAUAAUUAGGGAUUAAAUUAGAUUAUUAGUAAAAAAGACCAAAAUAAAUCAAAAUAAUUCGGGAUUAAAUUAGAUUAUGAGUAAAAAAACAAAAUAAGUCAAAAUAAUUCAGGAUUAAAUUAGAUUAUGAGUAAAAAGAACAAAAUAAGUCAAAAAUAAUUACGAGUAAAUGUAAGUUGAAAUAAAUAAAAGUGUAUAAAAAAAAGAAAACUUUUUCAGUACACGGCCCUCGGUGUACUGCCCCCCCCCCGGGCUAAACAUGAUCAUACCAAAUCAUAAAUAUGUUUGAGUUGACAGACUUUUGACGCGUCCAAAGUAUUCACAUGUCUGCUUAUUGUUCUCACGUGUAGCCUUAGGGUGAAGAACCAGUCAUGAGGAACUUCGGUGUUUAGUGCACAUGCGUUCAAUUCCAUUGAACAUUUGAUUUAGAUAUCCUCUUCUAAGUAAGUAAGUCAAUAUUUUUGUAUUUAUUGUACAUUUGCAACCAAAAAAAAAAAAAGGUCACAUGCAAUCAGCAAGUCAUGUGUUUUGUGCAUCAUGAAGUGCUUUUGUGAUGAUUUUACUCUCCAUCUUUACGUGCAUGCGACGUCUUCCUUUGCAGACUUUGAGACUGAGGACUGAGUCACUGUGCCACAUUUGUUCUGUUGAUGUAAAGCAAAACCUGAAAGUAGAUGACUACCUCGUAUCUACCGCGUGGGUUGGAUUCACACAGAAAGGGAAUGUACACUCCAGUCAGAACCAGCAGUUUUUUAAUUCAAAAGAAGCAAAAAGUCAGGUAAAAAAUAAUAAUUACGCAACUUUGAUUGUACCUUUGCUUUACAUUCAAUUUCUGUUCCU